This 429-nucleotide ribosomal RNA is filed under the name Chloroflexota bacterium. RNAcentral's name for it is "Chloroflexi bacterium partial 16S ribosomal RNA". It matches the Rfam family "Bacterial small subunit ribosomal RNA", at positions 355 to 776 of the family's 1533-position model. RNAcentral also lists the same sequence under 1 other name. Lineage: Bacteria; Bacillati; Chloroflexota. The record is from RNAcentral.
UAGGGAAUCUUCGGCAAUGGACGAAAGUCUGACCGAGCAACGCCGCGUGAGUGAAGAAGGUUUUCGGAUCGUAAAACUCUGUUGUUAGAGAAGAACAAGGACGUUAGUAACUGAACGUCCCCUGACGGUAUCUAACCAGAAACCCACGGCUAACUACGUGCCAGCAGCCGCGGUAAUACGUAGGUGGCAAGCGUUGUCCGGAUUUAUUGGGCGUAAAGCGAGCGCAGGCGGUUUCUUAAGUCUGAUGUGAAAGCCCCCGGCUCAACCGGGGAGGGUCAUUGGAAACUGGGAGACUUGAGUGCAGAAGAGGAGAGUGGAAUUCCAUGUGUAGCGGUGAAAUGCGUAGAUAUAUGGAGGAACACCAGUGGCGAAGGCGGCUCUCUGGUCUGUAACUGACGCUGAGGCUCGAAAGCGUGGGGAGCAAACAGG